GAUAAACGCUGGCGGCGUGCCUAACACAUGCAAGUCGAACGAUCCCGCAAGGGAGAGUGGCGGAAGGGUGAGUAAUACGUGGGAAUCUACCUCCUCGCAGGGAACAACCUCUCGAAAGAGAGGCUAAUACCCAAAAGGGUCAGAAAUGAUCAGAGUCGAAAGGCGUGAGGAGAGGAGCCCGCGGCCCAUCAGCUAGUUGGUGAGGUAAUGGCUUACCAAGGCUACGACGGGUAGGGGAUCUGAGAGGAUGUCCCCCACACUGGAACUGAAACACGGUCCAGACGCCUACGGGUGGCAGCAGUGAGGAAUAUUGGACAAUGGGCGAAAGCCCGAUCCAGCAACGCCGCGUGGAGGAUGAAGGCCUUCGGGUCGUAAACUUCUUUAGAGGGAGACGAGAAAGGACGGUAUCCCUAGAAUAAGCGACGGCAAACUACGUGCCAGCAGCCG
Molecule: ribosomal RNA, 447 nt
Filed under: uncultured bacterium
Lineage: Bacteria
Description: bacterial SSU rRNA
Rfam family: Bacterial small subunit ribosomal RNA
Source: RNAcentral